Molecule: long non-coding RNA, 415 nt
Filed under: Homo sapiens (human)
Lineage: Eukaryota; Metazoa; Chordata; Mammalia; Primates; Hominidae
Description: HSALNT0360038
Source: RNAcentral
UAUCUGAAGACAUUGUUUGAGGCUAUGAAAAAAUAUGAAUAAUAUUAGGCCUUGAGAUCAAAAAUCAUUUUUUACUUCCAUGGUUGUUAGCUGCCAAUAUCCCACGCACAGCUCUCAAUUUCCAAAGCAGCAGUGAAAUGCUGGAGAGAUCAGAAAAGAAGAGAACGGCAGUGUCAACUCACCUCUGGUCUCUUCUUGUUAGCAAGUUCAAGAGACACUUGGCGAUAUUGACUGCAGAAUACAAAGAUGAAAUUCAAGGGUUCCUAGAGGGUGUCUGUCCGUAGAAACAAAGGACAUCCUCAUCUUGAAAACGCUUCAUCCACCUCUUCCUUGUCUCCUCUCAAACACAUCUUGGCUCUUGUGUGGAAAUGUGUGGCCUCCCCCUCUCAGGUUGCAGCAUCGGGGGUCCUCCCUC